Molecule: non-coding RNA, 321 nt
Organism: Pelobates cultripes (western spadefoot toad)
Lineage: Eukaryota; Metazoa; Chordata; Amphibia; Anura; Pelobatidae
Source: the annotation of a GenBank genome assembly
GUGUGUAUAGAGUUAUUAGACAGUGUGUGUGUGUGUGUAUAGAGCUAUUAGACAGUGUGUGUGUGUAUAGAGCUAUUAGACAGUGUGUGUGUGUGUAUAGAGCUAUUAGACAGUGUGUGUGUAUAGAGCUAUUAGACAGUGUGUGUGUGUAUAGAGCUAUUAGACAGUGUGUGUGUAUAGAGCUAUUAGUGUGUGUGUAUAGAGCUAUUAGACAGUGUGUGUGUAUAGAGCUAUUAGACAGUGUGUGUGUAUAGAGCUAUUAGUGUGUGUGUAUAGAGCUAUUAGACAGUGUGUGUGUAUAGAGCUAUUAGACAGUGUGUG